Non-coding RNA from Phascolarctos cinereus (koala), 72 nucleotides. The record is from the annotation of a RefSeq genome assembly. NCBI's taxonomy places the organism in Eukaryota, Metazoa, Chordata, Mammalia, Diprotodontia, Phascolarctidae.
AACCCCGUGGCGCAAUGGUAGCGCGUCUGAUUCCAACUCAGAAAGUUGCGUGUUCGAGUCACGCCGGGGUCA